AACGAACGCUGGCGGCAGGCCUAACACAUGCAAGUCGAACGCCGUAGCAAUACGGAGUGGCAGACGGGUGAGUAACACGUGGGAACGUACCCUUCGGUUCGGGAUAACUCAGGGAAACUUGAGCUAAUACCGGAUACGUCCGAGAGGAGAAAGAUUUAUCGCCGAGGGAUCGGCCCGCGUCUGAUUAGCUUGUUGGUGGGGUAAUGGCUCACCAAGGCAACGAUCAGUAUCCGGCCUGAGAGGGCGGACGGACACACUGGGACUGAGACACGGCCCAGACUCCUACGGGAGGCAGCAGUGGGGAAUUGUUCGCAAUGGGCGCAAGCCUGACGACGCAACGCCGCGUGGAGGAUGAAGACCUUCGGUCGUAAC
This 372-nucleotide ribosomal RNA is filed under the name uncultured bacterium. RNAcentral's name for it is "bacterial SSU rRNA". It matches the Rfam family "Bacterial small subunit ribosomal RNA", at positions 29 to 429 of the family's 1533-position model. The record is from RNAcentral.